This 176-nucleotide unclassified non-coding RNA is filed under the name uncultured fungus. RNAcentral describes it as "sequence contains ITS1, 5.8S rRNA gene". The record is from RNAcentral. Lineage: Eukaryota; Fungi.
AAGAGUAAGGGUCUCUGGCCCGACCUCCAACCCUCUGUUGUUAAAACUACCUUGUUGCUUUGGCGGGACCGUUCGGUCUCGAGCGCGCCGGUCUUCGGAUUGGCGAGCGCCCGCCAGAGUCCAACCAAACUCUUGUAUUAAACCAGUCGUCUGAGUAUAAAAUUUUAAUUUAAUUA